GUGAACGCUGGCGGUAGGCCUAACACAUGCAAGUCGAACGGCAGCACAGUAAGAGCUUGCUCUUACGGGUGGCGAGUGGCGGACGGGUGAGGAAUACAUCGGAAUCUACUUUUUCGUGGGGGGUAACGUAGGGAAACUUACGCUAAUACCGCAUACGACCUACGGGUGAAAGCAGGGGUUCUUCGGGCCUUGCGCGAUUGAAUGAGCCGAUGUCGGAUUAGCUAGUUGGCGGGGUAAAGGCCCACCAAGGCGACGAUCCGUAGCUGGUCUGAGAGGAUGAUCAGCCACACUGGAACUGAGACACGGUCCAGACUCCUACGGGAGGCAGCAGUGGGGAAUAUUGGACAAUGGGCGCAAGCCUGAUCCAGCCAUACCGCGUGGGUGAAGAAGGCCUUCGGGUUGUAAAGCCCUUUUGUUGGGAAAGAAAAGCAGCAGGUUAAUACCCCGCUGUUCUGACGGUACCCAAAGAAUAAGCACCGGCUAACUUCGU
This 490-nucleotide ribosomal RNA is filed under the name uncultured bacterium. RNAcentral's name for it is "partial 16S ribosomal RNA". It matches the Rfam family "Bacterial small subunit ribosomal RNA", at positions 29 to 506 of the family's 1533-position model. The record is from RNAcentral.